UAGGGAAUCUUCCGCAAUGGGCGAAAGCUUGACGGAGCAACGCCGCGUGAGUGAUGAAGGUCUUCGGAUCGUAAAACUCUGUUAUUAGGGAAGAACAAAUGUGUAAGUAACUAUGCACGUCUUGACGGUACCUAAUCAGCAAGCCACGGCUAACUACGUGCCAGCAGCCGCGGUAAUACGUAGGUGGCAAGCGUUAUCCGGAAUUAUUGGGCGUAAAGCGCGCGUAGGCGGUUUUUUAAGUCUGAUGUGAAAGCCCACGGCUCAACCGUGGAGGGUGAUUGGAAACUGGAAAACUUGAGUGCAGAAGAGGAAAGUGGAAUUCCAUGUGUAGCGGUGAAAUGCGCAGAGAUAUGGGGGAACACCAGUGGCGAAGGCGACUGUCUGGACUGUAACUGACGCUGAUGUGCGAAAGCGUGGGGAUCAAACAGG
This 429-nucleotide ribosomal RNA is filed under the name Actinomycetes bacterium. RNAcentral's name for it is "Actinobacteria bacterium partial 16S ribosomal RNA". It matches the Rfam family "Bacterial small subunit ribosomal RNA", at positions 355 to 776 of the family's 1533-position model. Lineage: Bacteria; Bacillati; Actinomycetota; Actinomycetes. The record is from RNAcentral.